RNAcentral lists this ribosomal RNA (501 nucleotides) under uncultured Desulfobulbus sp. RNAcentral's name for it is "bacterial SSU rRNA". It matches the Rfam family "Bacterial small subunit ribosomal RNA", at positions 903 to 1382 of the family's 1533-position model. Lineage: Bacteria; Pseudomonadati; Thermodesulfobacteriota; Desulfobulbia; Desulfobulbales; Desulfobulbaceae. The record is from RNAcentral.
GCCCGCUCAGAAACUACAAAGGAAGUUGACGGGGCCCGCACAAGCGGUGGAGUAUGUGGUUAAUUCGAUGCAACGCGAAGAACCUUACCUGGUCUUGACAUCCCGGAGACCCUUAGGAAACUAGGGGGUGCUUCCAUCUGGAAGAAUCUGGAGACAGGUGCUGCAUGGCUGUCGUCAGCUCGUGUCGUGAGAUGUUGGGUUAAGUCCCGCAACGAGCGCAACCCUUGCCUUUAGUUGCCAGCAGUUCGGCUGGGCACUCUAAAGGGACUGCCGGUGUUAAACCGGAGGAAGGUGGGGAUGACGUCAAGUCCUCAUGGCCUUUAUGACCAGGGCUACACACGUACUACAAUGGCCGAUACAAAGGGCAGCGACACUGCGAGGUGAAGCCAAUCCCGUAAAAUCGGUCUCAGUCCGGAUUGGAGUCUGCAACUCGACUCCAUGAAGUUGGAAUCGCUAGUAAUCGUGGAUCAGCAUGCCACGGUGAAUACGUUCCCGGGCCUU